This is a long non-coding RNA of Pipistrellus kuhlii (Kuhl's pipistrelle), 506 nucleotides long. RefSeq lists it as uncharacterized. The transcript has 2 exons. Lineage: Eukaryota; Metazoa; Chordata; Mammalia; Chiroptera; Vespertilionidae. The record is from RefSeq and is a predicted model, not a curated record.
GGGGGGGAAAGAAAGAGGCGGAGGAGGGGAUAGGGGUGCGUGGGGGGGGGGGGGCGAGGGGGGAGCGAGACGUGCUCCUUCCCCCCACGCCGCACGUGCACCCUAAAAUGAAAGCUUUCUUUGCAGCCGGAGUGCCCGGGGAGGCUGCUGGCUGCCCGGGGCCGGAGCGGCGCGGGCGGAGGGAAGCCAGGCUGGGAUCUGCCUGGGAGACCUUUUCUCCAGAAAUACUUCUGUCUCCAAGAAGAAAGUAAAUGGGAAAAAAGAGGAGGGUGAAGAAGAGGGAGAGGAGGAAGACCUCUGACAGAUGGUUCAAAGCCAGAAACAUGGAUUUCCACAGCAGUCACCCUCGAAAGGAAUGCCUGAGGAGUAAAUUUCCCCAGGCACACACCGGUGAAAGGUGCUAACAAAAUUCCUUCAGUAGUGAGUCAAACUUCUUGAUCAAUAAGGGUCACCUUAUGUCUAGAUUGAAUGAUUUCUUUCACAUACAUUUCCCCAUUCCCACCAAA